AUUUGGAGAGGAUGCUUUUGGCGCGGCGCCGUCCGAGUUCCUUGGAACAGGACGCCAUAGAGGGUGAGAGCCCCGUACGGGCGGCCGCCUAGCCUUUGUAAAGCUCCUUCGACGAGUCGAGUAGUUUGGGAAUGCUGCUCAAAAUGGGAGGUAAAUUUCUUCUAAAGCUAAAUACCGGCCAGAGACCGAUAGCGCACAAGUAGAGUGAUCGAAAGAUGAAAAGCACUUUGAAAAGAGGGUUAAAAAGUACGUGAAAUUGUUGAAAGGGAAGCGCCUGUGACCAGACUUGCGACCCGUGGAUCAUCCGGUGUUCUUCACCGGUGCACUCCGCGGGCUGCAGGCCAGCAUCGGUUUUUCUAGGGGGAUAAAGGUCGCGGGAACGUAGCUCCCUCGGGAGUGUUAUAGCCCGUGGCGUCAUGCCUCUGGGGAGACCGAGGACCGCGCUUCGGCAAGGAUGCUGGCGUAAUGGUCACCGGCGACCCGUCUUGAAACACGGACCAAGGAGUCAAGCAUUGGGGCGAGUGUCUGGGUGCCAAACCCGCACGCGAAAUGAAAGUAAACGCAGGUGAGAGCUUCGGCGCAUCACCGACCGAUCCUGAUGUCUUCGGAUGGAUUUGAGUAAGAGCCUUACCGCUUGGACCCGAAAGAUGGUGAACUAUGCCUGUAUAGGGUGAAGCCAGAGGAAACUCUGGUGGAGG
RNAcentral lists this ribosomal RNA (698 nucleotides) under Ophiostoma araucariae. RNAcentral's name for it is "eukaryotic LSU rRNA". It matches the Rfam family "Eukaryotic large subunit ribosomal RNA", at positions 148 to 873 of the family's 3401-position model. The record is from RNAcentral. Lineage: Eukaryota; Fungi; Ascomycota; Sordariomycetes; Ophiostomatales; Ophiostomataceae.